UACGGAAGGCAGCAGUGGGGAAUAUUGCACAAUGGGCGAAAGCCUGAUGCAGCUAUGCCGCGUGUAUGAAGAAGGCCUUAGGGUUGUAAAGUACUUUCAUCGGGGAGGAAAAAACAAAACUAAUAAUUUUAUUUCUUGACGUUACCCGAAAAAGAAGCACCGGCUAACUCCGUGCCAGCAGCCGCGGUAAUACGGAGGGUGCUAGCGUUAAUCAGAAUUACUGGGCGUAAAGAGCACGUAGGUGGUUUUUUUAAGUCAAAUGUGAAAUCCCUGGGCUUAACCUGGAACUGCAUUUUGAAACUGAAAUACUAGAGUAUCGUAGAGGGAGGUAGAAUUCUAGGUGUAGCGGUGAAAUGCGUAGAUAUCUGGAGGAAUACCGUGUGGCGAAAGCGGCCUCCUAAACGAAUACUGACACUGAGGGUGCGAAAGCGUGGGGAGCAAACAGGGAUUAGAUACC
RNAcentral lists this ribosomal RNA (457 nucleotides) under uncultured bacterium. Its description in RNAcentral is "bacterial SSU rRNA". It matches the Rfam family "Bacterial small subunit ribosomal RNA", at positions 340 to 786 of the family's 1533-position model. The record is from RNAcentral.